Molecule: ribosomal RNA, 498 nt
Filed under: uncultured bacterium
Lineage: Bacteria
Description: partial 16S ribosomal RNA
Rfam family: Bacterial small subunit ribosomal RNA
Source: RNAcentral
GAUGAACGCUGGCGGCGUGCCUAAUACAUGCAAGUCGAGCGAACAGAUGAGGAGCUUGCUCCUCUGACGUUAGCGGCGGACGGGUGAGUAACACGUGGAUAACCUACCUAUAAGACUGGGAUAACUUCGGGAAACCGGAGCUAAUACCGGAUAAUAUAUUGAACCGCAUGGUUCAAUAGUGAAAGACGGUUUUGCUGUCACUUAUAGAUGGAUCCGCGCCGCAUUAGCUAGUUGGUAAGGUAACGGCUUACCAAGGCAACGUUGCGUAGCCGACCUGAGAGGGUGAUCGGCCACACUGGAACUGAGACACGGUCCAGACUCCUACGGGAGGCAGCAGUAGGGAAUCUUCCGCAAUGGGCGAAAGCCUGACGGAGCAACGCCGCGUGAGUGAUGAAGGUCUUCGGAUCGUAAAACUCUGUUAUUAGGGAAGAACAAAUGUGUAAGUAACUAUGCACGUCUUGACGGUACCUAAUCAGAAAGCCACGGCUAACUACGUGC